RNAcentral lists this long non-coding RNA (472 nucleotides) under Medicago truncatula (barrel medic). Its description in RNAcentral is "long non-coding RNA (MTRU_LNC006572)". Lineage: Eukaryota; Viridiplantae; Streptophyta; Magnoliopsida; Fabales; Fabaceae. The record is from RNAcentral.
UUACAUUUUAUUUGAAGAGCAUGAAGAGAAAGAGUAAAUUGUUAAAGAAAUGAACUGCAAAUUGAAGAUUUUUCCAAGAUCCCAUCAAAUCCCAUCACUCUUCAAAUCUAACCAUGGGAUUCAACAACAUGAGAUUGAUGACAUUUUCGUUCAUAUAUACUAUGAGAAAGCCACUUUGAGAAAGAGAAAGGAAAAUCAUUUGUUUGUUUUCUGUUCAGCUUCAGGUUUCUUGGUCCACCUUUGGAAUCGGUAGCAGCUACAACUAUAUGUUUGGGUAUGAUUUUGAGAAGAUGAGCAAUAUCUGGAUUGAAAGUGAGCAUAGAUCUGAAUGAGUUAGGAUGGUAUUGAGAUUCAGAUUUUGGAAUUGAUGGUGAGGAUUGAAUGAUGAGAUGGAAAAAAGAUAUAGAGCUAGAAACGUGGGGAAGAAAGGCAUGGAAAGAGGAAGAGGUUGUUGGGGUUAAUAGAGAGAUUU